UACGGAGGAUUCAAGCGUUAUCCGGAUUUAUUGGGUUUAAAGGGUGCGUAGGCGGUCGGAUAAGUUAGAGGUGGAAUCCCGAGGCUCAACUUCGGAAUUGCCUCUGAUACUGUUCGGCUAGAGAGUAGUUGCGGUAGGCGGAAUGUAUGGUGUAGCGGUGAAAUGCUUAGAGAUCAUACAGAACACCGAUUGCGAAGGCAGCUUACCAAGCUACUUCUGACGUUGAGGCACGAAAGCGUGGGGAGCAAACAGG
Molecule: ribosomal RNA, 253 nt
Filed under: uncultured bacterium
Lineage: Bacteria
Description: partial 16S ribosomal RNA
Rfam family: Bacterial small subunit ribosomal RNA
Source: RNAcentral